ACACGACUACAUUAGAUACCCGCGUAGUCCUGGCCGUAAACGAUGUGGACUUGGUGUUGGGAUGGCUCCGAGCUGCCCCAGUGCCGAAGGGAAGCUGUUAAGUCCACCGCCUGGGAAGUACGGUCGCAAGGCUGAAACUUAAAGGAAUUGGCGGGGGAACACCACAAGAGGUGGAGGCUGCGGUUCAAUUGGACUCAACGCCGGAAAACUCAUCGGGAGCGACAGCAGUAUGAUUGCCAGGUUGAUGACCUUGCUUGACAAGCUG
This 265-nucleotide ribosomal RNA is filed under the name uncultured archaeon. Its description in RNAcentral is "partial 16S ribosomal RNA". It matches the Rfam family "Archaeal small subunit ribosomal RNA", at positions 717 to 982 of the family's 1478-position model. The record is from RNAcentral.